Long non-coding RNA from Chinchilla lanigera (long-tailed chinchilla), 4460 nucleotides. RefSeq lists it as uncharacterized. The record is from RefSeq and is a predicted model, not a curated record. The transcript is spliced from 2 exons. NCBI's taxonomy places the organism in Eukaryota, Metazoa, Chordata, Mammalia, Rodentia, Chinchillidae.
GCGCUAGCCCUGCGGGAGUGAGAGCGGCGCUGCUCCUCCGGGCCGGCUGCCGGUGGAUCUGCGCGCGCCGAGCCCGCGCCGGGCCGGCCUUCAGCCUGCGCCCUGCUCCCCGCCUGUCUCCGUGGACUCGCUGUGUCCACGAGGGCCCACCUCUAAAGUGUGGUCUCCAGGUGAGAACGUGAGACUGCCUCAGGCCCCGCGCGAACCCUGAGAGCGUCCAUAGUGCAGCCCUCUCGGGGCGGCCGCUUGGGCUGGAUCUGUCUGCGCCACCCCAUUGCCACCCUCACCCUGGUACAAGCCGCUGUUUUCCUGUUCAAUGUCCGAUAAAGUAAGGAAUUUUCUAGGGGGACAUAUUGUCGGAGAAAUACGGUAGAUGGUCUUUCGGCCCAACAAUCUCAGUCACCUUGCAGAAAGUGUGCUGCGCUGCGGCCCAGGCCUUCCGGAAGGUCUGAGCUUUGCUGACCCCCCACUUCAGAGCACCAGCCGUCUGUAUCUGGGGCACGUCCUAAAGACUACACGGUGCUUCCUCGCCUAUAAAGACAGUUCACCCAGUUCUCAUCCAAAGCAGUCCUAACACGCGUUUUGCCGGCUUAGAGGUUGGAAGAGGGACGCUGUGGCUUGUCCGGGGGAGACACGUGAACUGUGGGUGCCAUAACCCGCCGCGCCCUUUUGCCCACAUUCCAACUGGAUCCCCAGCUAAGCAUUUUACAGAUGAAGAAGCCUGCUGAGAGAGGGCACAUGCCUUCCCCAGUCACACCGCUGGAAGAAAGGAAAGGCGUGAGACAGGACCAGAUCUGUCUGCUCCACAGAGCAUCUUACAGACACCGUCGGGCAGGGCACAUGGGCAGACAGCUCCUUCGAAGGUCCUGAUUUCCUUUUCCCCGUGGCCCUGGGAGGUGAGGAGCAUGUUUCCCUGCUUCUUUGGAGGACGCGGCUAGAGUGGGAAUUUGUAGCCAGGGAGUCUGCGCUGGCUUGACCUAGGACCCGGAGACGCUCUUUUCAGGUUAGUGCCAGGGAUGCAGCUCUUGUUGCGACCAGCAACCAAACCAAGACUUGGCCAGAGGACUUGGAGGGGACCUGUGUUGAGGAUGAGGUUGUGAUAAGCUUCCUAGUUUACAGAAGGUCAUGGCCGCUUGCAGCAUCAUGGCAGGUCUGGCUUGUAUGGGUAGAACAGGUGGGUUGUGUUGUCUUUUUAAGAGAGGAAACAGAAGUUGCAAAGUUCAAUUACGUUUUGUCUCUGGGCAGGGCAGUAUCCCGCAUUACCGAAGCACUUCUCCAUCUGUCCUGCCUGCCUCUGGGUCUUCGUUCCUCACAUACUCUCAGGCCAAUGUCUCCUGUUCCCUGGGGGAAAAAUGCAGGAAAACGUCAGAAGCAUCUUAGAAAUUAAAAUACAUCCUUAGUGGCUUCAGCACACAGGAAGAGGGACCAGCUGCCCAGAAACUGAAAAUUAGCAAAGAAGAUCCUGUUAAAACCUGAGUCAGAUCAUGUCUCUCUUGGACCAGAAACUUCCAAUGGCUCCCACUUCAUUCAGACACCAAGCACAGAGUAAGUGCCCAAUCAUUGAAUUAAUGAAUUUCAGAAAGACUUGGAGCAGACAGGGUCAGUUUGAAAGAAAUUAAAAAGGGUUGAGGAACAUACUUCAAACAGGUAAAAAAAAGUUGGCCACUGAAGAAACUAGAAGAGCAAUUUUACGGAAAGAGGCCUGAACAUCUUCCAGAGAGUUUGUGUGACAGUCCUCGUUUCUGCUGUGCUUCCUGCCCGUUUUUCCUUUAUACCCAUUGGCCCGGCUAACACCACCUUUGGAUAAUGGCUUAAGGUGAACUGCAUGGUGACGUAGUACCAUGGCAACCUUACUCCUCAUCCCAGCCUAAGUCAGGCCUGCUUGUCCUUCGCAGCACGCUGUCCGGUAAGUUUGUGUUGAAUGAGUGCAUGAAUUAAUGAAUGAACCAAUGAGGACACUAGCAUCCUAAUUACUGGGUGGGCUGCCUGAGCCACUGGAUAGAGCAUUUACCCCCGACCAGGGGGUGAAAAGUCUGCCAGUGCAGUGGGGAGAUUCUCUUGUUUGGAUUUCUGGCCAGGGAGCAGGGAACCACAGACAACACUCCAACCCUUAAGUUUUAAGGCAACAGGAACACUUAAACCUAUUCUUUUAUCUUCAUAAUGCCCUGAGCAAUUGUUGGUACAUCCCACUUUGUAGAAUAAAGUGUGCGGCUAGGAGAGGCAGCACAUCCCUCGCAGGAAGCACAUGGAGUCCAGAUGCUACGGUGAAGGUGUGGCCCCCACACACUUGCCUCUCAGAACUGCGAAUGGUGUUGGGGCUCAAGUGAUGGGCCUGAGCACCUAGCGGAGCCCACAGCAGGAGCCCAGAACACCCAGCCAGCGCUCCUCUGAAUGCGGUGCUGCACCUUGCAGGGCUCGCCCUCAGGGUACACACAGGCUGUCAAGGAUCCUGCCCUCACUGCUCCCCAUUACCUAGGAGUGCUUAGUUGUGAGGCUCUGAUGUUUCUUGCAGCAUAGACUGCACCCCUGAGCUUGGGGCAUGGAGCUUGGCCGCAUCCUAGCCCCGGGCCCUGGAAUCUCCCGUGUGUGCCUCGUAGACACUGCAAAGUGAAAGGGUCCAACCUGAACCCUUCAAGCUGCCCCUCAGCCCUAGUGUGUGAGCCUGCUGGAGCUGCCAGAACAAACUCCAUGGACAGAUGUGUCUUUCACAGUUCUGGAGGUACAAGGCUGAGAUCAAGGUGCCGCAGGUCAGGUUUUACUUAGGGCCUCUCCUUUUGGUCCAUAGAUGCUGACUUCUCCCAGAAUCCUCAUGGGGAGCCCCUGUGUAUCUGUCUCCUCGUUUCCUCUUCUUACAGUGACACCCAUCAUACUGGAUUAGGAACCACCCCAAGCACUUCACCGUAAAUUACCUCUUUAAAGUCCCUCUCUCCAAAUAAAGCUGCCUUUGGAGGCCCUGGGCAUUAGGACUUCAACCUAUGAAGUUUGGGGGACAUACGUCAAUCUGCAACCCCUGAGCACCUCAGGUCAGCAGCACGCCGGUGCCUGCUCCCCCAGAGCCACGUCCAGUGAUUUCAGCGCAUUGAUCUCGGGGCCUGUCCGCUGGUGGCGGCCCCCGCUGCCCACGCCACCAGCUCUUCCGCAUCCAUCCUCACACAGCAGGGUGUGCAUUGCCCCCCAGAGGGAUCGUUCUGGCCAAGACCCUCCAUGGCUCCCACAACCCAGCUCACCCUGGCGUUCAAACCUCUGCCUGACAUGACCCCUGCUGUGUCCGCUUGCACCCACUUGGCCCAUCCCAAGGAGGACCCUUUGCCUUGGGUUUCCCCGAGCAACAGGACUACCUGGAUUUAAACCCAGAUCCUAGUACUUCUUGUCUGCGCAACACCUAGCGGGUCAUGACCCUUCUGUUCCACCGUCUGUCUGUGAAACUGGGACAACCUGUGUGGUGCCCUGGCCAUGGGGUGUCUGUGAGAAGUGUUGCUGGCUGAGGGCCUCCAGCAGCCACACCUCCAGAUCCAGUGUAGCUUCCCCAAGAGGUUAUGCUUCUCCUGGGUUCCCCAGCUGAGGACCAAGUGUAGCCGAGUCUGCCCAACUGUUGCUGCCCCACACCGGGCUCCUACAUGGGCAGUCUGGGCUCUGGGGCGCUGCACUCAGUGCGUCUUCCCUCCUCUGUGCUGGCUUCAGUGUGGUUUCAGGGAGUGUGGGGAUUUAGCUCAGCGGCACAGCGCCUGCCUGGCAAGCGCGUGGUCAUGAGUUUGAUUCCCGGUACCGGAAAAAAAAAAACAAAAAACAGUGUGGUUGCAGGGAUAAACCUUCAAGGUCCCCAUACACCUCCAAGGAUGGGCAGACAGGGCCAGUACUGUCAGGACAGGGGAGCCACAGGGAGAAGGAAUACAGAUGCACACAGCUUCAGGGUACAGAACCGCCUCAGGAGCGGGCUGUCAGGAGAGGAAAUCAAGAGUCCAACUUGUUUAAGCGAACAAUUUUUUUUUUUUUUUUUUGGUAGUGCUGGGGAUUGAACCCAGGGCUUUAUGCGUGCAAGGCAAGAGCUCUUCCACUGAGCCACAUCCCCACCCCCUUAGCCAACAAUAUUUUGAGUAUUUAUUACAAAAGACAUCCACAGAACAAGAAAGUCUGAAAGCAAGGACCGUGACCAUCCUGUUUGUCACAAUAUCCUCCUGCCAUCUGAAAAUCUGUCAUUAAUGCCCCUGCCUUAUAAUGGUUUGACUUACCUUUUCUUAAAACUUUGCUAUGGUGCAGAAGUGAUAGGCAUUCAACAGAAACGGUACUUUGAAUUUUGGUUUCUUCCCAGGCUAGAACUAUGAGUCAGUUCUCGUGGAACUGGGCAGGAACAGGACAGUCAUCCACGUGAUCACAGUGGUGACAGUGGUUCGCCUCCAGCGCACUGUGUGGCUAAGCUUGGAGGUUCUGAGGGUUAGAUGUAUUAAAUUCAUUUUAAAUUU